Molecule: ribosomal RNA, 497 nt
Filed under: uncultured bacterium
Lineage: Bacteria
Description: partial 16S ribosomal RNA
Rfam family: Bacterial small subunit ribosomal RNA
Source: RNAcentral
GAUGAACGCUGGCGGCGUGCCUAAUACAUGCAAGUCGAGCGAACAGACGAGGAGCUUGCUCCUCUGACGUUAGCGGCGGACGGGUGAGUAACACGUGGAUAACCUACCUAUAAGACUGGGAUAACUUCGGGAAACCGGAGCUACUACCGGAUAAUAUAUUGAACCGCAUGGUUCAAUAGUGAAAGACGGUUUUGCUGUCACUUAUAGAUGGAUCCGCGCCGCAUUAGCUAGUUGGUAAGGUAACGGCUUACCAAGGCGACGAUGCGUAGCCGACCUGAGAGGGUGGUCGGCCGCACUGGAACUGCGACACGGUCCAGACUCCUACGGGAGGCAGCAGUAGGGAAUCUUCCGCAAUGGGCGAAAGCAUGACGGAGCAACGCCGCGUGAGUGAUGAAGGUCUUCGGAUCGUAAAACUCUGUUAUUAGGGAAGAACAAAUGUGUAAGUAACUAUGCACGUCUUGACGGUACCUAAUCAGAAAGCCACGGCUAACUACGUG